GGACCGGGAUAACCCUGGGAAACUGGGGAUAAUACUGGAUAGGCAAUUUUUCCUGUAAUGGUUUUUUGUUUAAAUGUUUUUUCGCCUAAGGAUGGGUCUGCGGCCGAUUAGGUAGUUGGUUAGGUAAUGGCUUACCAAGCCGUUGAUCGGUACGGGUUGUGAGAGCAAGAGCCCGGAGAUGGAACCUGAGACAAGGUUCCAGGCCCUACGGGGUGCAGCAGGCGCGAAACCUCCGCAAUGUGAGAAAUCGCGACGGGGGGAUCCCAAGUGCCAUUCUUAACGGGAUGGCUUUUCUUAAGUGUAAAGAGCUUUUGGAAUAAGGGCUGGGCAAGACCGGUGCCAGCCGCCGCGGUAACACCGGCAGCUCUAGUGGUAGCAGUUUUUAUUGGGCCUAAAGCGUCCGUAGCCGGUUUAAUAAGUCUCUGGUGAAAUCCUGUAGCUUAACUGUGGGAAUUGCUGGAGAUACUAUUAGACUUGAGACCGGGAGAGGUUGGAGGUACUCCCAGGGUAGAGGUGAAAUUCUGUAAUCCUGGGAGGACUGCCUGUUGCGAAGGCGUCUAACUGGAACGGUUCUGACGGUGAGGGACGAAAGUUAGGGGCGCGAACCGGAUUAGAUACCCGGGUAGUCCUAACUGUAAACGAUGCGGACUUGGUGUUGGGGUGGCUUUGAGCUGCUCCAGUGCCGAAGGGAAGCUGUUAAGUCCGCCGCCUGGGAAGUACGGUCGCAAGACUGAAACUUAA
RNAcentral lists this ribosomal RNA (741 nucleotides) under uncultured archaeon. RNAcentral describes it as "bacterial SSU rRNA". It matches the Rfam family "Archaeal small subunit ribosomal RNA", at positions 118 to 859 of the family's 1478-position model. The record is from RNAcentral.